This 497-nucleotide ribosomal RNA is filed under the name uncultured bacterium. RNAcentral's name for it is "partial 16S ribosomal RNA". It matches the Rfam family "Bacterial small subunit ribosomal RNA", at positions 28 to 507 of the family's 1533-position model. The record is from RNAcentral.
GACGAACGCUGGCGGCGUGCCUAAUACAUGCAAGUUGAGCGCUGAAGGUUGGUACUUGUACCAACUGGAUGAGCAGCGAACGGGUGAGUAACGCGUGGGGAAUCUGCCUUUGAGCGGGGGACAACAUUUGGAAACGAAUGCUAAUACCGCAUAAAAACUUUAAACACAAGUUUUAAGUUUGAAAGAUGCAAUUGCAUCACUCAAAGAUGAUCCCGCGUUGUAUUAGCUAGUUGGUGAGGUAAAGGCUCACCAAGGCGAUGAUACAUAGCCGACCUGAGAGGGUGAUCGGCCACAUUGGGACUGAGACACGGCCCAAACUCCUACGGGAGGCAGCAGUAGGGAAUCUUCGGCAAUGGACGAAAGUCUGACCGAGCAACGCCGCGUGAGUGAAGAAGGUUUUCGGAUCGUAAAACUCUGUUGGUAGAGAAGAACGUUGGUGAGAGUGGAAAGCUCAUCAAGUGACGGUAACUACCCAGAUAGGGACGGCUAACUACGUG